CCAAGAGUUUGAAACCAUGUCAUAUCUGAAAAUGUCAUUAUUGUCGAGCAUAAAAACACCAGGCCCGUCCCCAUCAUAAUCCUCAACAACCACAAUCUUCCCAAGCCUUGCUCUCUCCCCUUCCCGCCACAUAUCCCCAACGUCCCUCCACUUGCCACACCCAUUCUUCUUCACAUCCAUGACUACAGCAUCCUUAUAAUAUUCAUCCAUUGGAAACAUCAUAGAAAUUGUCCUGGACUCUCCGUAGCCUCCCAUCACCCAAAACUCCCUCUCCUCUCCACUCCCUACCAAAAACCCCACGCAACCUGCUCUAUACCUGGGCAACCCGUCCAUUGCUACCCACUCAUCCCUCCCAACAUCAUACCUUUCCACAGAACUCAUCCUACUUCCAGCUGCCCCAAAUAAGGUAUGUCUCGACCCUCCACCAGCCACGAUUAUCUGUCCCAAAUUAGGGAUUGCAGCGCAAGCAAAUGAACCACGAGGGGAGAGCAUCGGAGCGAGUUGGUCCCACGAGGAAUCGACGAAAUUGAAACGGAAGGCGGAGGAGGAAGGCAAUGGGCGAUCCAUAGGGAAAGAGCGGGUGUCGAAGAGAGACCCACCAAGAACAUAGAGAUUAGGGCCGAGAGAUAUGGAGGUAAAGUUGCAGAGUCCGUACACGUGAGGAUUACAGGGCAUAGGUGGUAGCGGUCGCCAUGCGAGAUUUUGCGGAUCAAAAAGGUAAGGGGAGGAGAUGGAAGGGUCCUGAGGGAAUAUACAUAGGAGAUGAGUGUGAUGACAGAGGUGAUGGCGGAGGGUAAUUAGGGUUUUGGAGGAGAGGAAGGCGUGCCAUGCCUUGCAGGUGCAUUUGAUACGAGAAUGGCGAGAGUAAGGGACCAUGGAGAGUAUUUGCGCUGCGAUGUCGUUUGGGAGGCCAGGAAUUAGAGUCAGACACUCGCAGAUUGACAGCAAUGGCGGAGACGCCGAAGAUGAAGAGGACGACGACGACGGAAAUUGGGCCAUUCAAUUAUUCUCCUUCAAUUUAGAUAAAAUCAGAAUCAAUCAAAUCGAGCGAGGCACAGAUAUCUACCUCCCAGCCUCCCAAUCUGAAUCUCUACGUUCUAUACACCAGCUCUGCAAGAAUUGACCAAUUCGACUGAUAAAAUCACUCCUUACGUGAAAGAGUAGAAGAAGAAGAAUUAAACUAAGCUAUGUAAAAUUCUUCAUGUAUAAAACAAAACCACUGGUGUGUCUCUCUCUGUCUGGCUCUCUUUCUCGACAUGGAAACCAUCAUUUGAAAAUCAGUAGUGUCCCCAUAGAGAAGAGAACAGAAGAUAGCUUGGAUGGCUUUGCCGAUGCUUAUCAGAUAACCAUAGUCCCACUUUCCCGAGAUGAGGGAUAGUAAGGGCGCUUGGGCGUUUUCUGGCUUUUCUCGUGUCUGAGCCGUCUACGGGUAAUGAAAACUUGAAAGGCCGUUGUUAACGUGGUUCGGUUUUUGUCUUCACCUGUGAACCGAAAGGCAAGGGGAGUGCACUGUGAAGGGAACUGGUGGGUGAUGCAUGGAGACCAUGGGAGAUUGUUGCUAUGUGUCAAAUCCUUAUUGGUGUUUUGCUUUGAGC
This 1595-nucleotide unclassified non-coding RNA is filed under the name Hevea brasiliensis (rubber tree). The record is from RNAcentral. Lineage: Eukaryota; Viridiplantae; Streptophyta; Magnoliopsida; Malpighiales; Euphorbiaceae.